RNAcentral lists this ribosomal RNA (172 nucleotides) under uncultured bacterium. RNAcentral describes it as "partial 16S ribosomal RNA". It matches the Rfam family "Bacterial small subunit ribosomal RNA", at positions 338 to 508 of the family's 1533-position model. The record is from RNAcentral.
CCUACGGGAGGCAGCAGUGAGGAAUAUUGGUCAAUGGGCGAGAGCCUGAACCAGCCAAGUAGCGUGAAGGAUGACUGCCCUAUGGGUUGUAAACUUCUUUUAUAAAGGAAUAAAGUCGUAUGUCAUACCCGUUUGCAUGUACUUUAUGAAUAAGGAUCGGCUAACUCCGUGC